UCCCAUAAGAAGUGCUUUGGAAUUUAUAUUCCAUCGGUUCUUUUGGGAUUUUUUUAUGGAAAGAUUGACUAUUUGUAAUUUCCACGUUUGACGUGCAAGUUUUUUAGGAGGAAUCGUAUCAUGCAAAACGGUACAGUAAAAUGGUUCAACGCAGAAAAAGGUUAUGGCUUCAUUCAAGUAGAAGGCGGAAAUGACGUAUUCGUUCACUUCUCUGCUAUCCAAGAAGAAGGAUUCAAAUCUCUUGAAGAAGGACAAGAAGUAACUUUCGAAAUCGUAGAAGGCGACCGUGGCCCGCAAGCGGCUAACGUUGUGAAAGCAUAAAUAUUUACAAACGGCAAUCUCUCCCUGAGAUUGCCGUUUUU
This 362-nucleotide small RNA is filed under the name Halobacillus sp. BBL2006. RNAcentral's name for it is "cspA thermoregulator". It matches the Rfam family "cspA thermoregulator". Lineage: Bacteria; Bacillati; Bacillota; Bacilli; Caryophanales; Bacillaceae. The record is from Rfam by way of RNAcentral.